GAGCGUCCUCAAGCUGACUUCCCCCUAUGGUUGCAAGAUGAUGGUCAGCAGUGACUGCGGCAAUAAGCUUUCUUGUUUAUGUCCACAGGAAGGAAAAGAAAACCUCUCCUUCACCCAUGAAAUAAGGCAUUCCCUGAAGUCUGAUUAGGCCAAAUUGGAUCAUAUGCCCAUCCCUAGACCAGCCCUGGGAAUACCAGCUACUGAUGGUUUAGGCCUAUGUUCCUAAAUUAGUUACUAUCAGAUGGUGGUGAUGGGCUGUUCACAUGGAGGAGAAGAAAAUUGAAAGAAGAGUGGGAAAUAGAGCUGGAACCUUCACCACAGCACUUCUGGCUCAUCCUACCUCUCAAAGGCUCAUUAGCUCUUGGCUUAUUCAGUGGCAAAGCAAGAAGAGGUGGCACUGAGGCAUCUUGAUCCUGAAGGAUCUUUUAAUUCACCUGAGCAGUCUUAACAUUUUUUCUAUCAGCCCCUGCUAUAGUUUGAAUGUGUGUGUUCUCUUUAAAAUUCGUGUUGGAACUUGAUCUCCAAUGUGACAGAGGUAAGAGGUAGGGCCUUAUAUUUGAGAGCACAACAGGGUGAGUACACUCAAUAACAAUGUAUUGUAUAUUUAAAAUAACUGAAAAAGUAUACUUGAAAUGUUCCUAACACAAAGAAAUGAUAAAUGCUUGAGGUGAUGGAUACCCCAAUUACCCCUAUGUGAUUAUUACAUAUUAUAUAUCUGUACCAAAACAUCACACAUACCCCCACGUAAAUGUAUGUACUUACUACAUAGCCAUAAAAAAAAGAUGUGGGACCUUUAGGAGAUGAUUAAGUCAUCAGGGCUCUGCCCUCAUGGGAUUUGUGACCUUGUAAACAAGCUGGAGAGAAUGCUAGGCCCCUUUUUUGCCCUCUGCCCUUCUACCAUGUGAGGACACAGCAUUCGUCGACUCUGAAGGAUGCAGCAACAAGGCAUCAUCUUGUGGCAGAGACCAGGGCUGUUACCAGACACCAAACCUGCUGGCAACUUCAUGGUGGACUUCCUAGUCGCAGAACUGUGAGAAAUAAAUGUCUGUUCUUUUUAAAUUAACCA
This 1066-nucleotide long non-coding RNA is filed under the name Piliocolobus tephrosceles (Ugandan red Colobus). RNAcentral's name for it is "lncRNA (ENSPTEG00000028512.1)". Lineage: Eukaryota; Metazoa; Chordata; Mammalia; Primates; Cercopithecidae. The record is from RNAcentral.